AGUGAACGCUGGCGGUAGGCCUAACACAUGCAAGUCGAACGGCAGCACAGUAAGAGCUUGCUCUUACGGGUGGCGAGUGGCGGACGGGUGAGGAAUACAUCGGCAUCUACUUUUUCGUGGGGGAUAACGUAGGGAAACUUACGCUACUACCGCAUACGACCUACGGGUGAAAGCAGGGGAACUUCGGACCUUGCGCGAUUGAAUGAGCCGAUGUCGGAUUCGCUAGUUGGCGGGGUAAAGGCCCACCAAGGCGACGAUCCGUAGCUGGUCUGAGAGGAUGAUCAGCCACACUGGAACUGAGACACGGUCCAGACUCCUACGGGAGGCCGCAGUGGGGCAUAUUGGACAAUGGGCGCAAGCCUGAUCCAGCCAUACCGCGUGGGUGAAGAAGGCCUUCGGGUUGUAAAGCCCUUUUGUUGGGAAAGAAAAGCAGCAGGUUAAUACCCCGCUGUUCUGACGGUACCCAAAGAAGAAGCACCGGCUAACUUCGUG
Molecule: ribosomal RNA, 492 nt
Filed under: uncultured bacterium
Lineage: Bacteria
Description: partial 16S ribosomal RNA
Rfam family: Bacterial small subunit ribosomal RNA
Source: RNAcentral